Girardinichthys multiradiatus is the source of this 2756-nucleotide RNA transcript. It is a transcript of the gene named fasciculation and elongation protein zeta 2a, with no coding region annotated. The transcript is spliced from 8 exons. NCBI's taxonomy places the organism in Eukaryota, Metazoa, Chordata, Actinopteri, Cyprinodontiformes, Goodeidae. The record is from RefSeq and is a predicted model, not a curated record.
GAUUGGGCUGCGAUCACGGAUUGCAGUACAAAAAAUGUAUUUAUUAUGAACUCUCUGCCACACAUCGGGUCCAACAGCAUCCCGGGUAUCACCACUAGUGGGCCCAGCCAGUGCUGUACUGCUGCCUCGGUCAGACACCGGGAGGAUGAGGCCUGCCAGUCCUGCCCCGAUAUACCCCUCAUUUACCCGGGGCGGUUAGCAUGGUUCGGGCUAUGGCUGCACCCAUCGCACAUUUCGACGACGACCGGCCGAACUUGGGGGAUCUGACCGCGGGUUCGGUGCCUCAGUACGGGCGAGCGGAGGUCGGCCCCGCCGCGGGGGAAGCGGUGGCUCAGCCUAUUCUGGAUCACGACGAUCCUCCAGGGCAGGCUGACGGUGACGGUUCCCCGGAGGAAUCCAGUGGGUGCAGGUCCACGGAGGAGUUGGUUAAUGGUGAUGAGAAGUUACCGGCAUGCUUCGGAAAACUAAAGGCCAAGCCGGAGAGGAUCGGUCCAGUGAGUGUGUUCACAGAGGAGACCCUGGUGGAGAAAGACGAAAUCUGGAAAGCUCUGGCCUCUAACUAUGGCCAGGUGAUGCCGGUGGAUUGGAAACAGUCUCGGACUCGCUCCCUCUACAUUUCCACGUUCAACCUUGAGGAGAGACCUAGAGAGACAUAUGAUGCGGCAGAGCUGUCUGACGAGGACGAACUGAGGGAGCAGCUGGACAUGCACUCCAUCAUUGUCCCCUGUCUGGACCAGGAGCCCCUUGUUACGGCAGAGCAGGUCAUCGAGGAGAUCGAGGAAAUGAUGCAGGACUCACCGGAUGCGGAGCGUAAUCCCUCCCAGUCGGACCUGUCCAUGCUCUCUGUGGAUAUCCAACGGAGCAGCCCCGGUUUCGAGGACAGACUGAGAUCCAUGAGUGUUGCGGAGCUGCUGGAGCGUCUGGCAGAGACAGAGGUGAACAUCAGGAGGUUUUCUGAGGAGCUAGUGCAGCAGCUGGCCGUCAGAGACGAGCUGGACUUCGAGAAGGAGGUGAAGAACAGUUUUAUCUCAGCGCUCAUCGAUGUGCAGAACCGGCAGAAGGACUACAGGGAGUUGCUGAGGAAGAAGAAGAAGCUCAAAGGUGGAGCAGGACCAGCUCAGAUUCUCACAGAGAGAACACCAGGAUCACGCUUCAGCAUGGAUGGCCUCUCCUCCGUUAUUCAAAACAGCUUCCGGCAAACAUUCGGCUCUGGCUGCAGUGAAAGACAGGUUCUACUCCUCACAUAGCCACAAGCUUUAUCUUUUCUAUUCAUUUCUUUCAGUUUUUUGCCCUGGAAAUUUUACUUUUCUAUCAUCACAAAUGUAUGCUUAGCAGUUAGUUAUUAAACCUGUCUGUGUCCCUGCUCUCCUGCGGUUCACAGUAUUUGACCACUGUCAUUCCCUAUGAGAAAAAGGGACUACCUCCGUCGGUUGAAGACCUCCAGAUCCUGACAAAGAUUUUGCAAGCAAUGAGAGAUGACAGCGACAAGGUGCCUGGUCUCUUAACGGACUAUAUUCUCAAUGCUCUGGUCUGAGCGAUGGAUAGCGAGGUUUGUGGCACAUUCCUGUGUGACAUUGUGGUUGUCCUGUCGCCUACAAGGCGAGAGCGCCCCCUCUCUUCCAAAGAAUGUAGUUCAGUCAGACCUCCCCUGCUCUUUACUGUUGAGCCUCUGCGGUAAAAUGAGUUUUUAUCUAACAUAACAAGCAUCUCGAAGUAAGUUAGUAAAGAUUGUGUUUUUGCUUGUAUUCAAAAAGACAGUAUUUAGAUAUUUCCUUUUUGUCCUGAUCUUUCUCCCUGAUCCCUUGUGCUUCCACCGAUAUCUUUUUAAUAAUCACAUUCUUCUUUCUGUCAGUGUUUUGUCCGACAUAGAUGGAGCCUGGUGAUCUGCACACAGUUUGAAAGAAGAGGACUUGUGAAGCACACUUAAUUUAUUCCUGAACGUUUUUACCUCCAUGCGUGUAAUUUGUGAUCCGUCUUUUAUUUAUGUGUGUUUAAGCUGACGAUUGUGAUCUGCAAACAGGUGCAUUCUUGCAAAGUUUCACUUUUUGUUUUGACAUGUAUAAAGUUUUUCUAAAGGUGUUUCUUCUUUUGUAAGGGGAUUGCAUCAAACAUUUGAAUAUUUUAUUAAGGGCAAAGCUGUAAAGCUAAGGGCUACGUAUUUACAAAACAUCAACUAAUGUUCCGAGCAGAGAAACAAGGGCAUCUAAAGUAGAGUAUUUUUAAAAAGAGCAAAACAUUUUAUAAGCAUAAACAGAAAGGCCAGAUAAGAUCAUUGUCAGAGCGCAAGAAACAGAUCAGAGGAGUGGAAUAAGCAGCAAACAGAUAUUUAUAAGAAUACAAAACAAAUCUAAAUCCAGUCUCUAUCACCGUGAUGUCACGGUGUUGUACUUACACCAUAGAUAUUUAUACAAUAUACUGAGCUGAUGCAAGCUGGACUGGCAAUAAGAAACAAUCAAUGCAUGUGAGGAAAAACCUAAUCUGACCCAUUCACUGUCUGUACUUUGGAGACGCCGACUGGAACUGAGAGCUCGCAGGAUGGUGUACACCGCGACCCCUACUGUGUUUCUACCAGCUGCCUUUGACUGAACUUUUCUACAUCAUGGCAAUGAAUGGUGAAUGACAUGUUAAUACACUACCUACAGAGGCCGCAUUGCUAUUUAUUUAUUUAUUUAUGUAAAUAUUGUAUUUGAAUAAUAGAAAUCAGAAUAUGUUUACUACCGAGUAUUGAAUAAUAAAGAGAGUGAUGAGAAAACUCA